Molecule: long non-coding RNA, 213 nt
Organism: Trachymyrmex cornetzi
Lineage: Eukaryota; Metazoa; Arthropoda; Insecta; Hymenoptera; Formicidae
Exons: 2
Source: RefSeq, a predicted model, not a curated record
UGGAUCUCUCGAGUCAAUCGAAGCCGGAAGUGCGACUCGCGGACACGUGAACUGCAACGUCAAAAUUUUUCGUUCUCACGGACCGAUCCACUUCCAUGAUCUUCUCUCCGAUACUCGAGAACGCAUCACUGCGGCGCGGAACACGUGGCGCGUAGCUUUUUUGUUUGUGAAUUGACUCACGAAGUAUAUUAGUGUGUAAAGAAGGAGAGGCAG